This is an RNA transcript of Gymnodraco acuticeps, 8015 nucleotides long. It is a transcript of the gene named zinc finger protein 3-like, with no coding region annotated. The record is from RefSeq and is a predicted model, not a curated record. Lineage: Eukaryota; Metazoa; Chordata; Actinopteri; Perciformes; Bathydraconidae. The transcript is spliced from 3 exons.
AGAAGAAUCCACUUCCGCCGAGCGAUGCAUGUGUGAUGUGUGAAAAACAGCUAGCUGUUCACCAUCCCUCACUAAAAACAUUACAUGCUGCUGCCUUGUUAUGUGACAGAUUAGUAUAUUCUUUAUUUUUCACCUCAGUUCUGCGCGGAGUCAUUUAUAAUAAUAGCAACAAACACAUUAAAAACAACUGUGGCGCUGUUAAGCUAACGAGCACUAGCAAGAGGAAGCUAGCACUACCACACGGAAAGACUCCAAGAUGGACGAAGCUGCUGCAGAGAUCAGAGAGGACGGAGCUGAAAACAAGACCCACGAUGGAGACACCACAUCUGAAAACAACGUUGAUCCAUCGGCUGAGGACACCGCAGAUGGGGUUGGGGUUUUCUGCUGUCGGGAUUGUGGAGAAGCCUUCAGAGAAGAGGCAGCUUUCUUGGAGCAUCGCCAUCAGCACCCACAAGAAAGUGUGCAUUUAGACAAACAGUUGGAUGGUUUACAUGAUGCAGAAAGGGACAAUGAAACAACUAAUUUCUGUACUAUAUGUUCACUAUCAUUUGUGGAACCAAGUGAAUUUAUAUCGCAUAUGGAAAAGUGCCAUGACCAAACCUUGCAAAAGGAGUCUGGCAUUCAAAUAACUUCUGGGAUAACAAAGCAACACACCUAUGAAUGUGCAGAAUGUGGGAAAUGUUACUUUGUGAUCGGACACUUCCUCAACCAUCAGCGCUCACACAGACAAGCCUCCAAAUCUGUUUUUCAUGAUCUUGAACAUUUGAAAAAGAAGUCAUUUCAAUGCGAGUCUUGUGGGCGGAAUUAUUCUCGAGCUUCAGCUCUCGAUGCACACCGUCGUUGUCAUGAAGGAAAAUUAGUCAAGUCACGAAACAAGAAUUCAGCAGAAGCAUUUCACACUGAGGAGUCAAUCGUUGAAGCCAAGCCCGGUGAAAGCCAGACUCCUGAGGUUACUCCUGAAAAAACCUUUAAGUGUUCAUGUGGUAAAGCUUUUACUGCCAUGAUGCGCCUUAAAACACAUCAACGAUUUAGCCGCAACAGUCUAUGCUCUCCAGAAGAAAUGAAAGAAAAACCUAAGAAAAGCUGCAAUGAGUUUUACUGUGAUGAGUGUAAAAAGGCUUUCACUGGACAUAUUGCCCUCUUUAACCAUCAGCGAUGGCAUGCCAAUCACUCUGAUGAUUCUGCGGAAAGGUUCCCAUGUGAGGAAUGUGGCAAAGUAUUUAUGACACUAACAUUCUACUACAGGCAUCAGCGCAUGGCGCAUAGUGAGGAGACCCCAGCAAAGUCGUUUCUUCACCAAGUCUGUCAGCUGCAGAAAAAGGCAUUUGAAUGUAAAGAUUGUGGACUGAAGUUUUCGAGGGCUUCAGCACUUCACUCCCAUCAGCUUAAUCACACGGAUGUUUAUGGAGAAACAGAGAAGGAGUCUCAUGUGAGUACCUCUCUGCUACCUCAACAGAAAACUUUGGAUAACGAAAGAAAAGAGACUAAGCAAGAACAAGUGACAUCAGAAAAUGUGCCUCCUAUAAGUGUGGUUGAAGAAGACUCACAUGCAAAUGAGAGUGAUGAAGACUUGGACAGUUAUGACCCUGGGGACUUUAUUGUUCAGGUGAUCAGUGCAAGUGAAUCUGAGGAUGAGGCCGCCCAAGACACUAAUCCUGAUCUUGAGCUGCUGUGUGAAUCGGAUCAGGAAAAUAAAAAUGAAGGCGACACUGGAGUUUCCCCCAGUAAUCUUGUUUUAAAACCAGAGAUGGAUUUGAAAAUUGUAGAAAUUGACUUUGAGCAAACUGAUGAACAAUGUGCACUGAUAGCGAAAGAAGCCGAGAAUAAAACGACAGAAGAAAGAUUUGAUUGCCCAGAGUGUUAUCGUUGGUUUUCUAGUGCUUCAUCACUGCGCGUUCACAGAAUGUGGCAUGGCGUUCGUAAGAGAAAACAGCAGAAUCCAGGUCAGUCUGUGGCAGUUCACACAUGUGACACAUGUGGCCACGAAUCUAAUAGCUAUGCAGCGCACUGCAGUCACAUUCAACAACACACAAAUCCUAAAAGAAACAGUGAUGGUGAAUCAGAAGGAUUAGAGACGAAAAAUCUAGUGUGCAAUGAGUGUGGUAAAAGCUUCUCACGUUUGUCUGCUUUAGUCUCUCAUCAGCUGCAUCAUCCCAAAAAAAAACCAUAUCAAUGCCCAGAUUGCAUGAUGUCUUAUUCUUAUGCAGCUAGUUUUGUUAACCAUGUGAAAAACUGCUCGGCACAAAAGAAGGGGAAUAUUUUGGUCAGUAAAAAAGAAUACAAUCCAAAAAAGACCCUUUUAGGCCCAAAGAUUUAUCAUUGUGAACAGUGCGGGAAGGGGUUUUGGUCUUUAGGAGCUUAUUCCCACCACAAGCAAAGUCAGACUGAGUGUACAGAUUUAAGGCUUAGAAAAGGUGCCCCCGGAUCUCUGCACUCUGUUAAUGGACACCAACGGCCCAAGGUUGCAUGUCCAGUUUGUGGUAGAAAGUUCCGUCACAAGGGCAUUAUGGCAUUGCACAUGCGAAAACAUGAAAACGGAAAUCACAAAUGUGAACUGUGCAACAGGUCGUUCCGUCUUUUUUCCAGCCUUCUCAGACACCAGGUUGUGCAUAGUGAGUUACUCCCACCACCCAUUAAGUCUUUUCAGCAUCAGGUAGAGCAGUUGAAAAAGAACACAUACAGCUGUCCUGACUGCGGGAAGCUGUUUUCACGGGCCAAAGCACUUCAGUUUCACAUGAAAAGCCAUGGGUACGAAACUGGUCACUCGCCAUCAUCGCCAAGAUCCACUGUCAUGCUGGAGGACCUGCAGUGUGCGACAUGCCUCGCACAUUUUAACAACAAAGCUUCUUUGCGGGCUCAUCGCAAACUUUGCAUUAAAAGAGAAAGUCAAGUAGUUGAUUUUAAGACAGAACCCUCAGAAAAUGAAUAUACUCAAAAGGACAGUAUGGAUGUUGGCACACAGGGAAGCUCUGAGCAAAUAACACUACAUACUGAAGUAAAGCAGGAACAAGAGACUGUGCAACCAAUGUUAGAAAAUCUAACGGGUGAAGGCAAAUCAGGCAACCCAAGCAAAACAAAUUUAAAAUAUAAAUGCAAAAAGUGUGACAGAAGCUUUUCAGUGGCUGGAGCUUUGAAUUUUCAUAAAAUAAUUCAUGCUGAUGAUGACAAAUCUGAAGCAAAAGCAAAAAUGGCUGUGUCUCUAAUGCUUAAAAAACCUAAAGAGGAAGAGCCAAGUAAAGGACAUUUUCACUGCUCAGAAUGUGGGAGGAGGUUCAUGUCUAACUCGGCCCUCGGCUCCCACAGAAGAUGGCACAAAGAAAAGAAAUUAACACGGUCCUUGCUAAAAGAUGAUGAAUUUAAAUCUGCUAAAAGCAAAUCAGAGGAUGGACCUUUUCAGUGCCAAAAAUGUGGCAAACAUUUUUUUGACCGUCGUGUUCUCCAGCGUCACAAGAUGUUUAACCCUCUGUGUCAAACAAAAACGGAGCCAGAGCUCGAUUCAAACCAAAGCGUUGAGAGCCAUAGCAGACUGAACAAAUCUACAUUUGUAUGUCUAGAAUGUAACACAACAUUUGAGCAACAAUUUCUUCUAGCUGCCCACUAUGAAAAUGAGCAUAACACACUAGAAACUGCCGAUCAUGCAGAAGACGGGCUCGCCAUGGUUGACCAGGAACCAAAACAGGUUGAUGUAAACUUCAGUCGGAGUGAGUUAAUGUCAUCAAUAUCGAAGCCAAAAGCUCACCAGUGCCCCAUCUGCUCUAUGACUUUUGCUAAGGCAAGAGGUCUGCAUGCCCACAAAUGGCAGGCCCAUUCCAAAAGGACAAAAAGUAAAAAUAAGAUCAUUUUGAAGAUAAAAAACAAUGCCUCAAGCAGUGAAGUCAAACGGACAGAACAAAUUAGUAAUGUUGACAAAGAAAUGAAGAAAACUAGAGCAGCCCCCCCACUUGUAAGAUAUGUUUCCUGCCUUGACUGUGGGAAGCAGUGCAGUUCUACAGAGACCCUGUUUGACCAUAAGAAAGUGUGCCACGAGAUAAAGGAAGAGAAGAUCCAAACACCUGAAACCGUAGCCGAGGUUUCCCCACCACUAAGCCGUCUAUCAGAGCAUAUGGCAAAAUGCCUAUUCAAGUGUGAUAAGUGUGGGAAAGCUUUCCAAACAGAGGAACACCUGGGAACCCAUAAGACCAAGGCAAAGAGCCGCCCGUAUUGUUGCGCCCUGUGCUGCAUCGGAUUUUGGUCUGAGAAUCAGCUGCAGCAACACCUCGCCUGGCACGAUGAAGUCCGUUGUCGUCUACCCAACGAGGUUCGGUAUAGGAUUGGCGCUGCUCUGACCUUAAAGCCUUUAAAAGCCAACGUCCCCUCUACUGACACAAAGGGAAUGUCCUGUUCAUCAGAGAACCAGUCACAAAAAAGCCAUAAGUGCCAACAUUGUGGCAAAGCCUUUCUUUCACCAACUGCAUUACAAAAACACGAAACACAGCACUGUAACAACGACUCGUAUCAUUGCUCCAUUUGCCCCAGGACCUUCAGUGAAAUACAGGACCUUAUCGAUCAUCACCAGGAAUGUAUUGGUGAUUACAAAAGGCAGAAUGAUGCUCCUGCUGCCGUCUCCUCAGUAGAUGCUGAUAGCCUUACUUGCCUUGAAUGUGGAACUACUUUCUGUCAAGAAACUGAUUUGCACAAGCACUACAUGGAGCAUGCCCAUGGAGUGUACUAUACUGUACAACCUGAAAAGGACUGAAGUGAAAACACUGUAGAUUGUUUUGGAGGAUGCCAAACUACUUAAAUAUGUUCAACUGCAUAAUUAUAAGAUAGAAAUGUGUUUAGGCUAAGUAGAAAGUAGGCAUCUCCUUUUUGUUUGUAGACUAUUUGAAAUUCUUAUAUAUAAAAAAAAAACAUGUAUUUUCUUUUCAGGCAUCCGUUACACUGGAUUGGUAACUGUGCAAAUGUUUAAAAAAUAACCUCUUUAUAUAAAUUAUGUUGUAAUGUCACAAUUAUUUUGAGCCACCGGUUGAUUUGUUCCAUUAUGAUUCGAAUUGUGAAGAGUUGAACCGUGGUUAUCUUUUUGGUGAAAAUUGACUUGAGUAUGGUAGUUUAUAUCUAGAUAUAUAACAAAAGGAUUGGAAACAUAUAUGCGUACAUGUUUGUCAUCAAUCUGAACAGUGCGGCUGACUCGCUACAUAUUUUCAAAGAUUAUGAAUUUAAAUAUUUCUGCACAACUAAGAUAUACUGAAUUUGCUUGUGUCCUUUAAAUACCUGAGGUACAGGUUAUCACAGCCAUUAACUACCAAAAAACACAUUUAAAUUUCAAAUAAUUGUAAGUUAUGUACAAAAAGUUUAGCAUUAAUUGAUGUAGAAGCUCCCAUGCUCUUUCUUUUUCAGUAUUGUGUUUCUUUGUUGUGGAUAUACUAUUCCUUAUGUAAACUAAAAUAGUGCUUAAGUUCAUGUAGGAUAGUUGUUUGUUUACUGUGCCACUUAAGUAUUUGGAUUAUAGAAAAGAUGUUACUUUGUUUUAUUAAUUUGUGAAAAACAUUUUUUCUUAGAUGACCAUUAUACUUGUUUAACUUGCUGUUUCCAAAUAAAAAAAAAAAAGCUAAAAAAAAGUUGCAAAAUAAAAGUUACUAAAAUAUUUGAUACGUGUAACGUGAAUUACUGGGUUGUGUGAUUCAUAUAGCUUUAUUUUUGUUAAUCUAAAUGUUUGUGGAAUUGUUUUUUUUUUUUUUUUUGACUAAGCACUGGGCGUGCUGUGUGUAAUAUUACAAUUUUACAUUUCAAAACCUAACCACUCGAAACCAGUCAUUUCAAAACCUGGCUUGUAAGUCACAUGUUCGUUUUUAGUCAUUAACAACUAAAGAACAUCGGUCUUGACAUCAGACAUUGAAUCAUUUCACACAGAGAAUAUUAUGGAUAUAGUUUCCAGCAGAACAUUUAUAUCAUUUUUUGGUGUUAAAUAAUAGUAAAGUUAAUUGAUGCAUUAUAAACCUAAAAAAACAUUUUGAUUUGACAAUAAGUGGUGCUUUUUUACUUAAUGUCUGAAAUUAUUCGUUUUUUGUGUUAAUUGAAAAAUAAUGUACUAAUUUCUAAUCAUAACUAUCACAUUGCUUUCCUGCUUUCAUGUAUUUGGACAUUUAAAGAAGUCUUAAUUUCAAUGCAUAUUGAAGAAAUGUGCCACCUAAGUCUGAGCAGAAUAAGUCUGAGCAGCUGUGGUAUACUUAUUUGAGUGGUGCUCUCCAGGCUCCAUAGAUGGGUCACAGAUGGUCUCCUUAUUUUACAGACAAGCUCAACAAGGCUAAACAUUGUAUUUGUUUCACUUGACGAAGAGGAGAGCCACAUCUCAGUCUUUCAAACAGGACAGCAUUUCAUGUGAGGAAUGUGGACUGAAGUUUACACAAUGGAACAUCUACCAGACCCACCUGCACCAACAUGCCCUGGAAGAGGGAGAGGAGGAAGAGGAGGAGGAAGAGGCCCAGAUGGGAGACGACAUGAGUCCUGUGUCAGAACUGGAUUCUGUGAGAGGAGUCGAUGGAAAAAGCCGAGAUGUAGACAUUAAUGGUGAAGCAGAUGAGUGUGACACAAGCAGUUUAUUGCAGAUACAACCCACAGGAUUUACUGAAGAUGUGCGGGACGCCGGAACAAAGGAGCAAUUUGGGAAAUAUCAUACUUGCUUAGUCUGUGGGAAGGUUUAUACAUAUCUGGUUUCAUACCAGAAACACCUACAGCUGCAUGAAAACCUGCCACCUACAACUAAAAGUCCACCAAGUGUCCCUAAUUUACAGGAGCAUCAGUGUCCGGACUGUGGGAUGUCAUUUAGCAGGCGAGCACGGCUUCUUGGUCACAUGAGAGUCCACAGGCCAUCCAAAUCAAAACCUCCCAGAUGUGAUCAGUGUAGCAUAGACUUCAGGUCGAUAAAGUCAUGGAUGAAUCAUGUCGUCCUCCAUAGAAAGAAACCGUUUUGGUGUUUAAGUUGUGCCAAAGGCUUUAAAAUGAAGAUUCUCUAGAUAACCACAUGCGCAGUCACACUCUGAUGAAACAUACGUGCCAUAUUUGCCACGAGAGUUUCCACGUAUCAAAACAGCUCAGGAUCCACUACAAAACCCACAGUGGAGCGAAACCUUACCAGUGCACAUUCUGCGGGGCAAGCUUCUUCAAACGUGGAAAUCUACUUUUGCACCGAAAAAAGCAUCUAAGAGCUUAUGCUGGGUUCAACGGGAUGCUUCGAGGUUCCAGGAAGCGAAGAAAUAAAUGGAGGAACAAUUAUCUGGCUAGUGUCAAAGAGGAGCCAGAAAUUGAUACAUACGUGGAGCAAAAUAAAACUCAACAGCCUUGUGAGUCUGGGGAUCAUGGGAGCUCUGAAGAGUCCGAUUGUGGGGAGCCCUUACAUCACUUCAAGCUUUCAAAACCACCAGGGUCUGCUCGGUCUGGUCCACAUGACAAAUGGAAAUCAGAACCUGUACAGCCCCCAACAGGACAGGAGCUGGCUGAGAGUGAAUCACCAGAAAAUAACAUGUACAGAGAACACAAGUAUUGGGAGUGGGAAUGUGUUGAAUGUGAUAUGGGCUUUGAUGAAGUGGCAAAACUGCAUUUACAUUAUGUAAAGCAUGCUACUGGGGAGCUGCCGAUACCACACGAUGAUGUUGAAGAUAUUUAGGGUGGAAGGCUCACAUAAGCAUUUUUUUUCUUACUUUGUCGACCAUUUAUUUUUGCAUUUUUUACUGUUUAAAGAAAUAUGGUGAAUUAGCAAUUGUUGAUAAAUGAACUUGUAGAAUUGAUACUUAUUAUCUAGUGUGCUGAGAAUGAUUUUAACUCUAACCCACUGUUACAUUUAAAUAUGUAUAAUGUCCUUGGGGAGAUGAUAAGGAGUUUCUACAACAGAUUAACUAUUAGUGUCUGAUGCUAUGAGAUUGUACUACAGUUUUUGAAUGCAUGAUUUUGAUAUGUAAACUGAGAUGAAACAAAGUGUUGCAAAAGAAAAGCUACUUCCCCUUUCCUUCUUAACCCCAAAUAAAAUGAAAUGCAUUCAA